Molecule: ribosomal RNA, 1365 nt
Filed under: uncultured bacterium
Lineage: Bacteria
Description: bacterial SSU rRNA
Rfam family: Bacterial small subunit ribosomal RNA
Source: RNAcentral
GAUUGACGCUGGCGGCGUGCCUAACACAUGCAAGUCGAGCGGCAGCGAGUUUUACACUGAAUUCUGGAAGCUUCUAGUUGAAAGAGAAGAUUUAUUCAAGAAUUUUGUGUAAAAUGUCGGCGAGCGGCGGACGGCCGAGUAACGCGUGGGAACGUACCCCAAAGUGAGGGAUAACGCAUCGAAAGGUGUGCUAAUACCGCAUAUGGUCUUCGGAUUAAAGCCUUCGGGCGCUUUGGGAACGGCCUGCGUAAGAUUAGAUAGUUGGUGGGGUAAUGGCCUACCAAGUCGACGAUCUUUAACUGGUUUGAGAGGAUGAUCAGUCAGACUGGAACUGAGACACGGUCCAGACUCCUACGGGAGGCAGCAGUGAGGAAUCUUCCACAGUGGGCGAAAGCCUGAUGGAGCAACGCCGCGUGCAGGAUGAAGGCCUUCGGGUUGUAAACUGCUUUUAUAAGUGAGGAUUAUGACAGUAACUUAUGAAUAAGGAUCGGCUAACUACGUGCCAGCAGCCGCGGUCAUACGUAGGAUCCGAGCGUUAUCCGGAGUGACUGGGCGUAAAGAGUUGCGUAGGUGGUUCAAUAAGCGAAUAGUGAAAGCUGGUGGCUCAGCCAUUCAGAUUAUUAUUCGAACUGUUGAACUCGAGAGCAGAAGAGGUAGCUGGAAUUUCUAGUGUAGGAGUGAAAUCCGUAGAUAUUAGAAGGAACACCGAUGGCGUAGGCAGGCUACUGGGCUGUUUCUGACACUGAGGCACGAAAGCGUGGGGAGCGAACCGGAUUAGAUACCCGGGUAGUCCACGCCGUAAACGAUGGAUACUAGCUGUUUGGGGUAUCGACCCCCUGAGUAGCGAAGCUAACGCGUUAAGUAUCCCGCCUGUGGAGUACGAUCGCAAGAUUAAAACAUAAAGGAAUUGACGGGGACCCGCACAAGCGGUGGAUCAUGUUCUUUAAUUCGAUGAUAACCGAUAAACCUUACCAGGUCUUGACAUCCUUGGAAUCUUUCAGAAAUGAGAGAGUGCUUUUUAAGAGCCAAGUGACAGGUGAUGCAUGGCCGUCGUCAGCUCGUGUCGUGAGAUGUUUGGUUAAGUCCAUCAACGAGCGCAACCCUUGUCAGUAGUUGUAUUUUUCUACUGAGACUGCCCCGGUAACGGGGAGGAAGGAGGGGAUGACGUCAGGUCAGUAUUUCCCUUACGUCCUGGGCUAGAAACGUGAUACAAUGGCUAGUACAAUGCGCAGCGAAGCCGCGAGGUGAAGCAAAUCGCAUCAAAGCUAGUCCCAGUUCGGAUUGUAGGCUGAAACUCGCCUGCAUGAAGUCGGAAUCGCUAGUAAUCGCAGAUCAGCAUGCUGCGGUGAAUACGUUCCCGGGUCU